Molecule: long non-coding RNA, 420 nt
Filed under: Gossypium barbadense (sea-island cotton)
Lineage: Eukaryota; Viridiplantae; Streptophyta; Magnoliopsida; Malvales; Malvaceae
Description: long non-coding RNA (GBAR_LNC023473)
Source: RNAcentral
AAAAAAAAAACCUCAAGUCCUUCUCCUGCUUCAUUCGGCUGAACCAAAAAUUAGAACCCUAACCUCCCCAUUUCAUUUCCCUCAGCCGAACCCUAUGCUUCCCUCUUAAGUGCCGAUCUGCCACCGUGAACGGCGACCAACAUGCUUAAGCCUCGGGGUUCUUCUCUUUUAACCUUGAGAUCCUCUUUAUACUUCGAUCUCGGCGAAGCAGAAGAGGUUUCACGGCAUAUUUACAAGGCAAAACUUCGUUCUCCUUGUCUUUUCUACUUUUAAAUGCGAAAACGAAAGUCCAAAAGGAAAAUAAAACUCAAGAAAACUCAAAACUACAGAAAAUUUAAGUCGGAAAUCACCUUUUUGAAACUGAUUUUCUUUUUUGAUUUCUUUUUCGUGUUCAAUACAAUUUUUGUUAGAAAAAUCCCC